This 343-nucleotide ribosomal RNA is filed under the name Pomacanthus asfur (arabian angelfish). Its description in RNAcentral is "partial 12S ribosomal RNA". The stretch from base 36 to 343 matches the Rfam family "Bacterial small subunit ribosomal RNA", at positions 875 to 1348 of the family's 1533-position model. Lineage: Eukaryota; Metazoa; Chordata; Actinopteri; Pomacanthidae. The record is from RNAcentral.
AAAACUAGCNAGUUCNCNUACCCNACUGUUCGNCCGGNAACUACGAGUNUCAGCUUAAAACCCAAAGGACUUGGCGGUGCUUUACAUCCAUCUAGAGGAGCCUGUUCUAGAACCGAUAAUCCCCGUUCAACCUCACCCUUCCUUGUUCUUUCANCCUAUAUACCGCCGUCGUCAGUUUACCCCGCUAAGGGCCCAGUAGUAAGCAAAAUCGGNACAGCCCAAAACGUCAGGUCGAGGUGUAGCCCAUGGAAGGGGAAGAAAUGGGCUNCAUUCCCUACUACAGGGUAUACGAAUGAUUUCGCUGAAAUGCNUUUCUGAAGGAGGAUUUNGUAGUAAGCAGGAA